This 465-nucleotide ribosomal RNA is filed under the name uncultured bacterium. RNAcentral describes it as "partial 16S ribosomal RNA". It matches the Rfam family "Bacterial small subunit ribosomal RNA", at positions 28 to 507 of the family's 1533-position model. The record is from RNAcentral.
GACGAACGCUGGCGGCGUGCUUAACACAUGCAAGUCGAACGGAAAGGCCCUGCUUGCAGGGUUCUCGAGUGGCGAACGGGUGAGUAACACGUGGGUGAUCUGCCCUGCACUUCGGGAUAAGCCUGGGAAACUGGGUCUAAUACCGGAUAGGAGCCAUUUUUAGUGCGAUGGUUGGAAAGUUUUUUCGGUGUAGGAUGAGCUCGCGGCCUAUCAGCUUGUUGGUGGGGUAAUGGCCUACCAAGGCGGCGACGGGUAGCCGGCCUGAGAGGGUGGACGGCCACAUUGGGACUGAGAUACGGCCCAGACUCCUACGGGAGGCAGCAGUGGGGAAUAUUGCACAAUGGGCGCAAGCCUGAUGCAGCGACGCCGCGUGGGGGAGGACGGCCUUCGGGUUGGAAACUCCUUUCGCUAGGGACGAAGCUUUUUGUGACGGUACCUAGAGAAGAAGCACCGGCUAACUACGUG